This 2977-nucleotide precursor RNA is filed under the name Aureobasidium lini. RNAcentral describes it as "partial 18S ribosomal RNA". The stretch from base 1 to 1256 matches the Rfam family "Eukaryotic small subunit ribosomal RNA". Lineage: Eukaryota; Fungi; Ascomycota; Dothideomycetes; Dothideales; Saccotheciaceae. The record is from RNAcentral.
GCAUGUCUAAGUAUAAGCAACUAUACGGUGAAACUGCGAAUGGCUCAUUAAAUCAGUUAUCGUUUAUUUGAUAGUACCUUACUACUUGGAUAACCGUGGUAAUUCUAGAGCUAAUACAUGCUAAAAACCCCAACUUCGGAAGGGGUGUAUUUAUUAGAUAAAAAACCAACGCCCUUCGGGGCUCCUUGGUGAUUCAUAAUAACUAAACGAAUCGCAUGGCCUUGCGCCGGCGAUGGUUCAUUCAAAUUUCUGCCCUAUCAACUUUCGAUGGUAGGAUAGUGGCCUACCAUGGUAUCAACGGGUAACGGGGAAUUAGGGUUCUAUUCCGGAGAGGGAGCCUGAGAAACGGCUACCACAUCCAAGGAAGGCAGCAGGCGCGCAAAUUACCCAAUCCCGACACGGGGAGGUAGUGACAAUAAAUACUGAUACAGGGCUCUUUUGGGUCUUGUAAUUGGAAUGAGUACAAUUUAAAUCCCUUAACGAGGAACAAUUGGAGGGCAAGUCUGGUGCCAGCAGCCGCGGUAAUUCCAGCUCCAAUAGCGUAUAUUAAAGUUGUUGCAGUUAAAAAGCUCGUAGUUGAACCUUGGGCCUGGCUGGCCGGUCCGCCUCACCGCGUGUACUGGUCCGGCCGGGCCUUUCCUUCUGGGGAGCCGCAUGCCCUUCACUGGGCGUGUCGGGGAACCAGGACUUUUACUUUGAAAAAAUUAGAGUGUUCAAAGCAGGCCUUUGCUCGAAUACAUUAGCAUGGAAUAAUAGAAUAGGACGUGCGGUUCUAUUUUGUUGGUUUCUAGGACCGCCGUAAUGAUUAAUAGGGAUAGUCGGGGGCAUCAGUAUUCAAUUGUCAGAGGUGAAAUUCUUGGAUUUAUUGAAGACUAACUACUGCGAAAGCAUUUGCCAAGGAUGUUUUCAUUAAUCAGUGAACGAAAGUUAGGGGAUCGAAGACGAUCAGAUACCGUCGUAGUCUUAACCAUAAACUAUGCCGACUAGGGAUCGGGCGAUGUUAUCAUUUUGACUCGCUCGGCACCUUACGAGAAAUCAAAGUCUUUGGGUUCUGGGGGGAGUAUGGUCGCAAGGCUGAAACUUAAAGAAAUUGACGGAAGGGCACCACCAGGCGUAAACUAACUUGCAGCCGCAGUUAACUCUGCGCCUAAAAGCGGCCUGAAAGGGUGAGGUGGUAGCUCGGGGUUCAACACCCCAAAUGUGAACGCUAGUUUUAGGGGAACCUCUUUGUAGGACCUAAGGCAACAUGAUCAAACUGCGGGAAACUCCUUAGAGCCUCUGACUACUAAGUUGGUAAUCGAAAGAUGCCAAUGGCCACGUUAAUUGCGUCGGAUAUAGUCAUAACGUCAGAGGAUUGGACAAUCCGCAUCCAAGCCCCUAAGGUCUUUAAGAGACUAUGGGGAAGGUUCAGAGACUAAAUGGUUGUGGGUUCGGAUGUUGGGUUAAACUUUGACCGUUGGCUUUAUACAUACAUACAUACAUACAUAUUCAUAUUCAUAUCUUUAUCGGGUGAUGGGGUUUUGAUCGGGUUUGAUCGGGUUUGAUCGUGUGUUUGGGUUUUGAGCGGGUGUAGCAUUUAGUCAGAUAGUUACGGAAUAAAAACAGAUUGUACCCUUUAGCCCCCCGGCCUUUAGAUGAACAAGCUGUUAAGUAAUCUAUCGACAAAAUGCCACCUUCAACUUCCACCACCGAAUCAGACACCGGCCAGCGUUCUUUCGCGCGUCGCCACUUUGCGUCUCUCCGCGUCCUUCUUCAGCAACUGCCAAUCAACCACCGUCAGGCAGUCGCCGCCUUCUGGAGGGAACUUCUCGUCAGCCUGAACUCAUUAGACGACGCCCUGGCUUCCGCCGCCGCUCCGCCGUCCGUCGUUGCGCCAUUUCCACCGCCGGCUGCUCAUCCAGAGACGCCCGCCUCGUCUCAGGGAACGGAAGACGUGCGAUACGAGAUCGACGCCGCUUUUCGCGCCGCGGCCUCUGUCCACGCCACCGCUAGUGAGACUAUCGAGGAGAUUCUGGGUUUAGACCAGGAUUGGGCGUUAGGAAAGUUGCAAGGUCAGCGGAGGGUUACGAAUGAGCUGGGCUGCUGGUUGUCCACCAAUGUCGCCUCGAGUUUUGGAGGAGGAAAUGUUUGUUACCCGUUAGAGAGUUAAGCCCUGGAAAACAUCAUUACGGCAGCCCUUCGGGGCCUGUUGUUGCGGAGUAAUCAUGAUUACCAGGUGCCUUUCUGUGACGGUGACAUGCUAUGUUGUAUUAUUAUUAUCCUUGUAUGAAUAUAUUGUAUGUGUAUGAAGUGGGAACAGUUAAAGUGGGACUUGACAUUCGGGCUUAAGAUAUAGUCCGGCCACACGUGAAAGCGUGUGGGUUAGAAAUUGGUAUCCAAUAAACGGGAGCCUGCGGCUUAAUUUGACUCAACACGGGGAAACUCACCAGGUCCAGACACAAUAAGGAUUGACAGAUUGAGAGCUCUUUCUUGAUUUUGUGGGUGGUGGUGCAUGGCCGUUCUUAGUUGGUGGAGUGAUUUGUCUGCUUAAUUGCGAUAACGAACGAGACCUUAACCUGCUAAAUAGCCCGGCCCGCUUUGGCGGGUCGCCGGCUUCUUAGAGGGACUAUCGGCUCAAGCCGAUGGAAGUUUGAGGCAAUAACAGGUCUGUGAUGCCCUUAGAUGUUCUGGGCCGCACGCGCGCUACACUGACAGAGCCAACGAGUUCAUUUCCUUGCCCGGAAGGGUUGGGUAAUCUUGUUAAACUCUGUCGUGCUGGGGAUAGAGCAUUGCAAUUAUUGCUCUUCAACGAGGAAUGCCUAGUAAGCGUACGUCAUCAGCGUGCGUUGAUUACGUCCCUGCCCUUUGUACACACCGCCCGUCGCUACUACCGAUUGAAUGGCUGAGUGAGGCCUUCGGACUGGCCCAGGCAGGUCGGCAACGACCACCCAGGGCCGGAAAGUUGGUCAAACUCCGUCAUUUAGAGGAAGUAAAAGUC